ACCCUUCACUACGGAAUAGUCCCGGGAAACUGGGUUUAAUACCGUAUACGCCCUUCGGGGGAAAGAAUUUCGGUGAGGGAUCGGCCCGCGUUAGAUUAGUUAGUUGGUGGGGUAAUGGCCUACCAAGACUACGAUCUAUAGCUGGUUUGAGAGGAUGAUCAGCAACACUGGGACUGAGACACGGCCCAGACUCCUACGGGAGGCAGCAGUGGGGAAUCUUAGACAAUGGGGGCAACCCUGAUCUAGCGAUGCCGCGUGAGUGAUGAAGGCCUUAGGGUCGUAAAGCUCUUUCGCCUGUGAUGAUAAUGACAGUAGCAGGUAAAGAAACCCCGGCUAACUCCGUGCCAGCAGCCGCGGUAAUACGGAGGGGGUUAGCGUUGUUCGUAAUUACUGGGCGUAAA
This 401-nucleotide ribosomal RNA is filed under the name Celeribacter sp. RNAcentral describes it as "bacterial SSU rRNA". It matches the Rfam family "Bacterial small subunit ribosomal RNA", at positions 128 to 564 of the family's 1533-position model. Lineage: Bacteria; Pseudomonadati; Pseudomonadota; Alphaproteobacteria; Rhodobacterales; Roseobacteraceae. The record is from RNAcentral.